CUGAGCAUUUGAGUCACUGGUGGAACCCCGGCCUUAUCACCUUCAUGCUGGAGAUCUGGGAGCCUGUACACGUUCCUGCUGUGGAAGGAUUUUGGUGCUUUGGAUAAAGGAUUAUGGAUCAGAACCAGCAUAGUUAUCUAUUUAUCUAUCUAUUAUCUAUCCAUCCAUCCAUCCAUCAUCUAUCAUCUGUCAUUUGCUGGUGAAAGAAGAGACAGAGUGACCAUUCUUUAUAAAGAAAAUGACAGAGGACCAGUAGGAAAACAUAAAGAAGUCUGGAAAGUAUUUC
Long non-coding RNA from Perognathus longimembris pacificus (Pacific pocket mouse), 286 nucleotides. RefSeq lists it as uncharacterized. The record is from RefSeq and is a predicted model, not a curated record. NCBI's taxonomy places the organism in Eukaryota, Metazoa, Chordata, Mammalia, Rodentia, Heteromyidae. The transcript has 2 exons.